RNAcentral lists this ribosomal RNA (667 nucleotides) under Lactococcus lactis. Its description in RNAcentral is "bacterial SSU rRNA". It matches the Rfam family "Bacterial small subunit ribosomal RNA", at positions 60 to 710 of the family's 1533-position model. The record is from RNAcentral. Lineage: Bacteria; Bacillati; Bacillota; Bacilli; Lactobacillales; Streptococcaceae.
AGUUGAGCGCUGAAGGUUGGUACUUGUACCGACUGGAUGAGCAGCGAACGGGUGAGUAACGCGUGGGGAAUCUGCCUUUGAGCGGGGGACAACAUUUGGAAACGAAUGCUAAUACCGCAUAAAAACUUUAAACACAAGUUUUAAGUUUGAAAGAUGCAAUUGCAUCACUCAAAGAUGAUCCCGCGUUGUAUUAGCUAGUUGGUGAGGUAAAGGCUCACCAAGGCGAUGAUACAUAGCCGACCUGAGAGGGUGAUCGGCCACAUUGGGACUGAGACACGGCCCAAACUCCUACGGGAGGCAGCAGUAGGGAAUCUUCGGCAAUGGACGAAAGUCUGACCGAGCAACGCCGCGUGAGUGAAGAAGGUUUUCGGAUCGUAAAACUCUGUUGGUAGAGAAGAACGUUGGUGAGAGUGGAAAGCUCAUCAAGUGACGGUAACUACCCAGAAAGGGACGGCUAACUACGUGCCAGCAGCCGCGGUAAUACGUAGGUCCCGAGCGUUGUCCGGAUUUAUUGGGCGUAAAGCGAGCGCAGGUGGUUUAUUAAGUCUGGUGUAAAAGGCAGUGGCUCAACCAUUGUAUGCAUUGGAAACUGGUAGACUUGAGUGCAGGAGAGGAGAGUGGAAUUCCAUGUGUAGCGGUGAAAUGCGUAGAUAUAUGGAGGAACACC